UCAAAGAUUAAGCCAUGCAUGUCCAAGUAUAAGCAAUUAUACAGUGAAACUGCGAAUGGCUCAUUAAAUCAGUUAUCGUUUAUUUGAUAGUACCUUACUACAUGGAUAUCCGUGGUAAUUCUAGAGCUAAUACAUGCGAAAGUCUGCGCAAGCGGAUGUAUUUAUUAGAUAAAAAACCAACCCCCUCGGGGCUCUUGGUGAUUCAUGAUAACUCAACGAAUCGCAUGGCCUUGUGCCGGCGAUGGUUCAUUCAAAUUUCUGCCCCAUCAACUUUCGAUGGUAGGAUAGUGGCCUACCAUGGUUUCAACGGGUAACGGGGAAUUAGGGUUCGACUCCGGAGAGGGAGCCUGAGAAACGGCUACCACAUCCAAGGAAGGCAGCAGGCGCGCAAAUUACCCAAUCCCGACACGGGGAGGUAGUGACAAUAAAUACUGAUGCGGGGCUCUUUUGGGUCUUGCAAUUGGAAUGAGUACAAUCUAAAGCCCAUAACGAGGAACAAUUGGAGGGCAAGUCUGGUGCCAGCAGCCGCGGUAAUUCCAGCUCCAAAAGCGUAUAUUAAAGUUGUUGCAGUUAUAAAGCUCGUAGUUGUACUGUGGGCCUGACCGCUGGGAUGUCUCAACGAGCGUGUACCAGUUGGUCGGGCCUUCCAUCUGGGGAGACAUGCGACACUUUACUGGGUCGGAUGGGUAACCAGACGAUUUUACUUUGAGAAAAUUAGAGUGUUCAAAGCAGGCUUGUGCUCGAAUACAUUAGCAUGGAAUAAUGGAACAGGACGUGCGUCGGUAUUCCGUUGGUUUCUACAGACGCCGUAAUGAUUAAUAGGGUCAGUCGGGGGCAUCAGUACUCAAUGGCUAGAGGUGAAAUUCUUGGAUCCAUUGGGGACUAACUAAUGCGAAAGCAUUUGUCAAGGAUGUUUUCAUUAAUCAGUGAACGAAAGUUGGGGGAUCGAAGACGAUCAGAUACCGUCCUAGUCUCAACCGUAAAUUAUGCCGACUUGGGAUCGGACGAAAGUUGUACUAUUCAGUGACUCGUCAGGCACCAUGUGGGAAACUAAAGUAUGUGGGUUCUGGGGGGAGUAUGGUCGCAAGGCUGAAACUUAAAGAAAUUGACGGAAGGGCACCACCAGGCGUGGAUCCUGCGGCUUAAUUUGACUCAACACGGGGAAACUCACCAGGUCCAGACAAACUGUAGGAUUGACAGAUUAAUGGAACUUUCUUGAUUAUUUGGGUGGUGGUGCAUGGCCGUUCUUAGUUCGUGGACUGAUCUGUCUGCUCAAUUGCGCCAACGAACGAGACCCUUUCUUGCUCAAUAGCGGACUAGCUUUUGCUGGUUGCCGGCUACUCAGAAGAACUGUCGAGCGAUGUUUUCAUCAGAAGCUCACGGUAGCUUUUGGCAAUGACAGGUCUGUGAUGCCCUUAGAUGUCCUGGGCCGCACGCGCGAUACACUGACUGGAACAACGAGUUUACAACCUGCCUCGAGAGUUGUGGGUAAUCUUGAAUUCCUGUCGUGCUGGGGAUAGAGCAUUGCAAUUAUCGCUCUUCAACGAGGAAUGUCUAGUAAGCGUGUGUCAUCAACAUGCGUUGAAUUUGUCCCUGCUCUUUGUACACACCGCCCGUCGCUACUACCGAUCGAAUGGUUCAGUGAAGCUUUUGGACUGGUGCUUUGCCUGUUGGCAACGACAGCUUUGCGCUGGAAAAUUAGUUAAACUCGAUCAUUUAGAGGAAGUAAAAGUCGUAACAAGGUUUCCGUAGGUGAACCUGCGGAAGGAUCAUUACAGAGAAGAGGCGCCGCGAGGCGUCGAUCUCCCACCCUUUGUGUAUUUUUGAAUGUUGCUUCGGCGGGCCGCUGGGGGACGGAGAGACGGCCCCUGCCACCUGGCUGUUGGGCUGGUGAGCGCGCGCCGAAGGCCGAGGUUACUCUGUUUUGCAAGGUGGUCUGAAAGCACGCAACUUCUCAAAACUUUCAACAACGGAUCUCUUGGUUCUGGCAACGAUGAAGAACACAGCCAAAUGUGAUAAGCAAUGCGAAUCGCACUCAGUGAAUCAUCGGAUUUUUGAACGCACAUUGCACCUGUCUUCGGACAGGUACGCCUGUCUGAGCGUCGUCACAACAUUCAAGCUUGGCUUGCAGUGGGCAAUGCGGACGCGAGUCGGCAGGCCUGAAACGCAAUGGCGCCGGUAGAUCACCUCGAGCAUGGUUAAAGUCUUGCAGCGAGGAGGGUAUGCAGGCGGCCUCAACAGGUGACCUAGUUCGACCUCAGAUCAGGUGGG
Molecule: ribosomal RNA, 2271 nt
Filed under: Lembosina cf. aulographoides
Lineage: Eukaryota; Fungi; Ascomycota; Dothideomycetes; Asterinales; Asterinaceae
Description: SSU rRNA
Rfam family: Eukaryotic small subunit ribosomal RNA (bases 1-1775)
Source: RNAcentral